GACGAACGCUGGCGGCGUGCUUAACACAUGCAAGUCGAACGGAAAGGCCCUGCUUUUGUGGGGUGCUCGAGUGGCGAACGGGUGAGUAACACGUGAGUAACCUGCCCUUGACUUUGGGAUAACUUCAGGAAACUGGGGCUAAUACCGGAUAGGAGCUCCUGCUGCAUGGUGGGGGUUGGAAAGUUUCGGCGGUUGGGGAUGGACUCGCGGCUUAUCAGCUUGUUGGUGGGGUAGUGGCUUACCAAGGCUUUGACGGGUAGCCGGCCUGAGAGGGUGACCGGCAACAUUGGGACUGAGAGACGGCCCAGACUCCUACGGGAGGCAGCAGUGGGGAAUAUUGCACAAUGGGCGCAAGCCUGAUCCAGCAAUGCCGCGUGCGGGAAGAAGGCCUUCGGGUUGUAAACCGCUUUUGGCAGGAACGAAACGGUGUCCGCUAAUACCGGGCGCUAAUGACGGUACCUGCAGAAUAAGCACCGGCUAACUACGUG
Molecule: ribosomal RNA, 488 nt
Filed under: uncultured bacterium
Lineage: Bacteria
Description: partial 16S ribosomal RNA
Rfam family: Bacterial small subunit ribosomal RNA
Source: RNAcentral